UCGAACAACCAGCCUCGUGAAUGGAGGCAACAGCGGGUCUCAUGGCUCUCUCUAAGUCACAAGGCACUUGGCCAGGGAGCUCCUCCUUCAAGGCAAUAGUUCUCCUAUCCGUUUGGGAUUGCUCUCUCCCAGUGGAGAUGGCAUCAUUAAGGCUCGUCAGUUGUCGGGUAAAGCUUAGACGCUCGACGUCGUCUUUCUUCAAGUAGGCUGCGCUCUUCUGUUCGCGGAGCGGCAGGCUUCACGGCGGUCUCCGGCCUCGGGGUCCUUCGAUUCCCACUGCCUCCGAAAAUCGCCGAUCCACGCCACUCAUCCGAAGGUCCGGAAUCUCAUCGGAGGAGAGCUUGUGGAGUCGAAGUCCAAAUAUUGGAUCGAUGUUAUAAACCCUCUUGUUUGCAGAUAGACAUGGCGUUACGUCCUGGACAUCAUAUCCAUUUCUAGGGAUAUAAUUCAUGUUUUACCUCCAAAGUCAACUUCUUUCUGAGUGAUCCAGGUGGCAUGGCAAACACAGUCAGUUGAUGUUGGAUCACUCAAAAGUUUUACAUUCAAAUACAGGAUAUGUUUGCGGAGAAAAGGAGCAUUCUGGAACCAGCUGGUGCACUCUCUCUAGCUGGUGCAGAAGCAUACUGCAAAUACUAUGGUUUGAAAGGUACAAAUGUUGUUGCAAUAACCAGUGGAGCAAACAUGAACUUUGAUAGGCUGAGGUUGGCAACUGGACUUGCUGAUGUUGGUCGGAAACGUGAGGCUAUGCUUGCAACUAUUCUACCAGAGGAGCAUGGGAGUUUUUAAGACAUUCUGUAAACUGGUAGGCUCUAUGAAUAUUACAGAGGUCAAAUACAGAUAUGAUUCAUGUAGAGAAGAUGCUCUUGUACUUUACAGUGUGGGACUUCAUACUGACACUGAACUAGGAGCCAUGGUGAACCGAAUGAAAUCUGCACAAUUUCAAACUAUCAAUCUUACUAAUUAUGACUUGGCAAAGGAUCAUCUGAGAUAGGAGGCUGGUCAAAUGUGCAAGAUGAACUACUUUGCCGAUUUAUCUUCCUAUAGAGGCCAGGUGCUCUUGUUAAAUUCUUGGACUCCUUUAGUCCACGAUGGAAAAUCAGCCUGUUCCAUUAUCGAGCACAGGGUGAGACUGGUGCAAAUGUCUUAGUAGGCAUCCAAGUGCCAAAGGAGAACAUGCAAGAAUUUAAGCGUCGAGCUCAAGAUCUUGCAUACGAGUAUACCUAUGACAACAACGAGUCCUAUUGUCUUCCGAUGCAGUGAGUAGCCAGAUCAAGUAUCUGAAGCUGUAUAUGAUUUUGAGUUGAGGGAGUAAUCUGCCACUUGAGAAUGAACAGAACCAUGUUGUCUUAUUUUUUUAUUGAUUGUUUUUAUUAUUUUUCAAAACCAUGUUGUUAUUGUAAAGUCUAUAGUAUUGAUUGUAAAGCUUAAAUUAUUGAUUCAAAUUAUUUACUUUGAUAA
This is a long non-coding RNA of Musa acuminata AAA Group (dessert banana), 1458 nucleotides long. RefSeq lists it as uncharacterized. The transcript is spliced from 9 exons. Lineage: Eukaryota; Viridiplantae; Streptophyta; Magnoliopsida; Zingiberales; Musaceae. The record is from RefSeq and is a predicted model, not a curated record.